RNAcentral lists this ribosomal RNA (624 nucleotides) under Tentyria rotundata. Its description in RNAcentral is "eukaryotic LSU rRNA". It matches the Rfam family "Eukaryotic large subunit ribosomal RNA", at positions 694 to 1265 of the family's 3401-position model. Lineage: Eukaryota; Metazoa; Arthropoda; Insecta; Coleoptera; Tenebrionidae. The record is from RNAcentral.
UUGGGACAUGACUAAACCUAAAGGCGCAAUGAAAGUGAAAGUUCGCCUUGCGCGGACUUAGGGAGGAUGGGCGGUCGUUACGGCUGCCGCCCCGCACUCCCGGGGCGUCUCGUUCUCAUUGCGAGAAGAGGCGCACCAAGAGCGUACACGCUGGGACCCGAAAGAUGGUGAACUAUGCCUGGUCAGGACGAAGUCAGGGGAAACCCUGAUGGAGGUCCGUAGCGAUUCUGACGUGCAAAUCGAUCGUCGGAACUGGGUAUAGGGGCGAAAGACUAAUCGAACCAUCUAGUAGCUGGUUCCCUCCGAAGUUUCCCUCAGGAUAGCUGGCGCUCGUUGCGUACGAGUUUCAUCCGGUAAAGCGAAUGAUUAGAGGCAUUGGGGUCGAAACGGCCUCAACCUAUUCUCAAACUUUAAAUGGGUGAGAUCUCCGGCUUGCUCGAACUCAUUUUUAAAAUGAAGCCGCGAGACUCGAAUCAGAGUGCCAAGUGGGCCAUUUUUGGUAAGCAGAACUGGCGCUGUGGGAUGAACCAAACGCCGAGUUAAAGCGCCUAAAUCGACGCUUAUGGGAUACCAUGAAAGGCGUUGGUAACUUAAGACAUCAGGACGGUGGCCAUGGAAGUCGGA